This 377-nucleotide ribosomal RNA is filed under the name Gemmatimonadaceae bacterium. Its description in RNAcentral is "bacterial SSU rRNA". It matches the Rfam family "Bacterial small subunit ribosomal RNA", at positions 1 to 389 of the family's 1533-position model. The record is from RNAcentral. Lineage: Bacteria; Pseudomonadati; Gemmatimonadota; Gemmatimonadia; Gemmatimonadales; Gemmatimonadaceae.
UUUGGAGAGUUUGAUCCUGGCUCAGGACGAACGCUGGCGGCGUGCUUAACACAUGCAAGUCUAGGGGGCCCAGCAAUGGGUCACCGGCGAACGGGUGCGUAACACGUGAGCGACCUACCUUGAGAUGGGGGAUAGCCGGCCCAACGGCCGGGUAAUACCGCAUACGCUCUUCGGGCUUCAUGGCUUGGAGAGGAAAGCUUUAGCGUCUCUAGAGGGGCUCGCGGCCUAUCAGCUAGUUGGCGGGGUAACGGCCCACCAAGGCAAUGACGGGUAGCUGGUCUGAGAGGAUGGCCAGCCACAUUGGGACUGAGAAACGGCCCAGACUCCUACGGGAGGCAGCAGUGGGGAAUAUUGCGCAAUGGUCGAAAGACUGACGC